Molecule: ribosomal RNA, 398 nt
Filed under: uncultured bacterium
Lineage: Bacteria
Description: bacterial SSU rRNA
Rfam family: Bacterial small subunit ribosomal RNA
Source: RNAcentral
AAUCAACGCUGGCGGCGUGCCUAACACAUGCAAGUCGAGCGCGAAAGGGGAGUAAUCCCCAAGUAGAGCGGCGAACGGGUGAGUAACGCGUGGGUGAUCUACCUCCGAGUGGGGAAUAACCCCGGGAAACUGGGGCUAAUACCGCAUGACAUCCCUGAGUCACAUCGGGGAUCAAAGCCGGGGACCGCAAGGCCUGGCGUUUGGAGAUGAGCCCGCGUCCGAUUAGCUAGUUGGCGGGGUAACGGCCCACCAAGGCUUCGAUCGGUAGCCGGCCCGAGAGGGCGGACGGCCACACUGGGACUGAGACACGGCCCAGACUCCUACGGGAGGCAGCAGUGGGGAAUUUUUCGCAAUGGGGGAAACCCUGACGAAGCAACGCCGCGUGGAGGAUGAAGGCC